CCAGACUGAGGUAGUAGGUUGUAUAGUUAAGAAAUACACCAUUUCAAGGAGAACUGUACAACCUUCUAGCUUUCCCUGG
This is a non-coding RNA of Octopus bimaculoides (California two-spot octopus), 79 nucleotides long. The record is from Rfam. NCBI's taxonomy places the organism in Eukaryota, Metazoa, Mollusca, Cephalopoda, Octopoda, Octopodidae.